This 546-nucleotide ribosomal RNA is filed under the name uncultured bacterium. Its description in RNAcentral is "partial 16S ribosomal RNA". It matches the Rfam family "Bacterial small subunit ribosomal RNA", at positions 355 to 895 of the family's 1533-position model. The record is from RNAcentral.
UGGGGAAUUUUGGACAAUGGGCGAAAGCCUGAUCCAGCAAUGCCGCGUGUGUGAAGAAGGCCUUCGGGUUGUAAAGCACUUUUGUCCGGAAAGAAAUCCUUGGCUCUAAUACAGUCGGGGGAUGACGGUACCGGAAGAAUAAGCACCGGCUAACUACGUGCCAGCAGCCGCGGUAAUACGUAGGGUGCAAGCGUUAAUCGGAAUUACUGGGCGUAAAGCGUGCGCAGGCGGUUUGCUAAGACCGAUGUGAAAUCCCCGGGCUCAACCUGGGAACUGCAUUGGUGACUGGCAGGCUAGAGUAUGGCAGAGGGGGGUAGAAUUCCACGUNUAGCAGUGAAAUGCGUAGAGAUGUGGAGGAAUACCGAUGGCGAAGGCAGCCCCCUGGGCAAUACUGACGCUCAUGCACGAAAGCGUGGGGAGCAAACAGGAUUNGAUACCCUGGUAGUCCACGCCCUAAAACGAUGUCAACUAGUUGUUGGGGAUUCAUUUCCUUAGUAACGUAGCUAACGCGUGAAGUUGACCGCCUGGGGAGUACGUCGCAAGAUU